Molecule: ribosomal RNA, 407 nt
Filed under: uncultured bacterium
Lineage: Bacteria
Description: bacterial SSU rRNA
Rfam family: Bacterial small subunit ribosomal RNA
Source: RNAcentral
UGGGGAAUAUUGCACAAUGGGCGAAAGCCUGAUGCAGCGACGCCGCGUGAGGGACGAAGGUCUUCGGAUUGUAAACCUCUUUCAGCAGGGACGAAGCGAAAGUGACUGUACCUGCAGAAGAAGCACCGGCUAACUACGUGCCAGCAGCCGCGGUAAUACGUAGGGUGCAAGCGUUGUCCGGAUUUAUUGGGCGUAAAGAGCUCGUAGGCGGUUCGUCACGUCGGAUGUGAAAACCUGGGGCUUAACCCCGGGCCUGCAUACGAUACGGGCGAACUAGAGUUCGGUAGGGGAGACUGGAAUUCCUGGUGUAGCGGUGAAAUGCGCAGAUAUCAGGAGGAACACCGGUGGCGAAGGCGGGCCUCUGGGCCGAUACUGACGCUGAGGAGCGAAAGCGUGGGGAGCAAACG